Molecule: long non-coding RNA, 1940 nt
Filed under: Olea europaea (common olive)
Lineage: Eukaryota; Viridiplantae; Streptophyta; Magnoliopsida; Lamiales; Oleaceae
Description: long non-coding RNA (OEUR_LNC011173)
Source: RNAcentral
UUCCAAUCUGGUUGGCAAGUUAUUAUUGAUUAUCUUUCUGCAUUUUCACUAACAUCUCCUCCCCAUCCCUAAUGCUUCCCUCAGAAAGGAUUGAAGUAAUGUAAACUGUAGAUCAAAAGACAAACCAGUUAAAGAAAAUUAGAGAAAUAGACCCUUGAACCAAUUUCAGUUUAGGAAUACUAGUGCAACUAUUGUAUAAUUGGAAUUUAAUUAUGUCGUGACUCCAGUGUUUGUUCCUCGAUCCACUCCCCUUCCCUAUUAUUACUCCAUAGGGCAGCUGCUGUCUCCGGUUCCUCACUACCCAGUUGCCUGAAGCCUGCAUUGCCAACUACACUACCUCAUUUCUUUCAUAAACAGCAGAAUAAGUAAAAAUCCACAUUAAUAAACCACUAACGUAUGGGCUACAGGGGGAGAAGAAGAUCUGAGAUUAGCAGUUCGAAUUCAACCCAAUGAGGACAGCCAAGGAGCGUAGCUGAGGGAGACAAUCGUUAUAAUUUGUUGACUAGUUUUAAAUCUGCGUUGCUGAUAACAUUUUAUGUUUAGCUGGUAGCCAUAUGCCCUAGCUAACAUUAUGAGACAAGAUAUGUGCCAUAGUGCUCUGUAACGAAAGUACUAUGAGUUGAGUAUGGAGUCUUGUUAGCUGUGUGUUUUACACAUUACUUUUCCAGCGUAUUGCUCGUUCUUUUCCAAUGGAGAAAUCUUAGAGUACACUCCAUGUAUUCAUUUUCUUUCUCAAGACACAUAAAGUGUCAUCUAUCAACUUGAUUUAUAUACUUUAAUAAAUUAUUUUCUUUUUAGCAAUUUGUUGUUUGAUUCUAGAAACAAGGGAAAAGAAAUGAGGUGAUCCUGCUUGCUCAUGUGCUAUGUUUGUCUUCUGUUUGCUUCUUUCUAUCUUGUGUUUAUCAAAUACUGCUAUCAAUUUCUCUUAGGUGAAUGAAAAUGAGCAACCCAUUCCUCCCUGCUUCUCCUUCUGUUAUCUCUCCUUUUCCUUCUGUAGGAACCUGCAAACAACACAGAACAUUCACACAGCUAAAGACCAAAAGUGCAGAUCUGAAGAAAAUAAAACGCAACACAUUUUUAGGCCGAAGCCCCGAGGUUCAGCGAUCAACAAGACCGCCUAAUCCCCGUUGAGCAUCCACGGAGGAAUAAGCUCGAAUCCACUAAAUCAGCCAGCCAAAACCAACAAAGUAUCGAUUACAACGGAACACACAGUUCCACAAAUUUCGUACAGCACGACACAACAACUUCUCUACACAACAAGAACUCACACAAGAGUUCACAGAACUAAGUUUUCUCUACAAAGAUCACUCAAAAUCAAAACCCAAAAAAUCACAAGAAAAAUACAGAGAGAAAACUCAAAACGAGAAGAAGCUGCGCGAAUAUGAAAAAAAAAGGGUUCUCUAACCCUAGAGUCUUUUGACUCAAUUAAAAGGGGCAGCUCAAUCAUCUCAAUCCAACGGCUCACCAUUCACCACGCGUUGACGAUCCAUAAGAGUUGUUAUUUUAAAACUGAAAAUGUGUUUUUGUUAAAACCAAAUUGGUUCCAGAUUCUUCCAUUAAAUGGGCUGUCAAUUGGGUCAUGAGCUGGGUCUUUACUUGGGCCACUUUAAGUAGCUGGGCUGGACUCCACAAAAGCAGCAACAUACUUCACACCUUCCUUCUCUCACUCUUUCCCCCUGAAACAACAAAGCCAUUGUAAAGAAUAUGUUUCAGCCAUGCAAUGCGAACUAUAAAGGGUUCCCCACCACUAUUUUAUGAUUCCUAGCUUAGGCUGUAUACAAACACGAAUUGAUGACUUCAGAAUAACUUAAUUUCUGUCCAUUUGACAUUUCUAGAUGCCAAUCUUCGAGUAGCUAUUUAUCAUAUUUUUACCAGUUUGUUGUCUAUUGGAAUCCCAAGUUCUUAAGAAAAUGAUUUUACUGCAUGCUUGUAGCAUAAGG